This is a long non-coding RNA of Sander lucioperca (pikeperch), 347 nucleotides long. RefSeq lists it as uncharacterized. Lineage: Eukaryota; Metazoa; Chordata; Actinopteri; Perciformes; Percidae. The transcript has 4 exons. The record is from RefSeq and is a predicted model, not a curated record.
UUUAAGUGGGCUUUAGUGUAAAGUGAGUGAAUGUUUUCUUCCUUCAGAUGAAGCCGACUCUGAUAUUACUGAUGGAAUCUACCUGGCUGGUUUCCGGCGGAGUUUCCGUCUCUGGCAGAGAACGUCCUUCAGGAAGAGACGGCAGUCAUGCACCUCGUGCUCGCCCAGCAGCGGCACCCUGUUCACUCCGUACGAGGAGGUGGCUCUGUACCAGCGCCCCCCGCAGGAGAACCACCGCCUCAUCAUCCUCGUCGGUGCUGCGAAAGUUGGAGUUAACGAACUGAGGAAAAGACUCAUCAAACUGAACCCUUCGACCUUCCAGGGACCCGUACCUCACACCUCUCGUC